This is an RNA transcript of Octopus sinensis (East Asian common octopus), 3538 nucleotides long. RefSeq lists it as uncharacterized. The transcript is spliced from 10 exons. The record is from RefSeq and is a predicted model, not a curated record. Lineage: Eukaryota; Metazoa; Mollusca; Cephalopoda; Octopoda; Octopodidae.
AGUGAAUGAGAGAAGUAGCGCUCUCUAAUGUUUGAAGGUUAGGAAAAAAAUACUCAGCACCGCCGCUGUCUUCUCGCUCUCCAACUUAAAGGUUCGUAGUUUACGUACGUUUGUUUGCUGCUUCGUCAUCUUGUGUAUCACCAUCCUCUUAAGAGAACAUACAGAGAAUCAGACAGAGAGACGGACAUUGUCGACUGGCGAUUGUACGGUUUGUGUUACCCUCUGGGUCACUUUAUUACUUCUUUUAUCAAAUUCGCCUUGCUCGUUCGUCCUACGAACAGCGAAACGAAACCAAAAAACGGUUGGCUACUGUAUUAUUUACUACCUGGAUUUAAUACAUACAAGCACGCACGCACGCUCACACAUAUUUAUAUACACAUAAUCAGACACGCAUACACACAUAUUUUAUACAUUACAACAACCACAACCACGACGUCCUCAAGGCGGAGUAACUCUUCUAAAAAAACACGAUGUCCGAUGACUGGCAAUAGCAUAAGGUCUGACCUGUUGGUCGGCAACCGUGGUCAGUGCAUGACGACAACGACCGAUGGGAGACAACAAGGCCUGGUCACUCCAGGCCGUAACAACACCACCACCACUACUACUACUAUUACCACUAACAACAACAGCACCAGUAAAAACACUAGUGUUAGUAGUAGUAGCAUCAACAAUAACGCUACCAGUGAUACUAAUAUUAGCUAUAGUAGUAGUAGUAGUAGUAGUGUUGGUGGCGGUAGUAGUAGUUGUAAUAACAACACCAGUAUGUCGCAAUUACUUUCGUCUGUAGAGAAUGGCGACUUGGACGGUGCUUCUGGUGGCUUUAACGCGGAUUUGACCUUGCUUCUACCGGAUCACCCGAAAAAUGGACGGCGCGCGGAUGGCAAUGAUAACACCAGUCUAGGGCUGACUGUUGCGGCUGGGUGUGAAAUACCGCCGAGAGAUAACAGCAGCGUCAACAACAACAACACGCUCGUCACGUUUGGGACUAGUACGGUACUAACGAUGGUCGACAGGGAAGACGGCAUCAGAGCAAGUGGCAGCAAUCACAACAGCAGCAGUAAUAGUAGUAGUAGUUGUAAUAAUUACAAUAACACAAAUGUUAAAAGCGGCAAUAAUAACGAUCUUAACGAGAAGACGAAUAACAGCGGUCUUUAUUACGCAAACGGAUCGUCAUUAUUCAGUCUGGACGAGGACAGUAAUUCGCUGUCAUCGGGUGAUCCGAGAGCCAGGAUCUCUUCCUCUCAUAGCACCACUUUGUUCGGAAACAGUGGCGCGAUAGCAGCGGCGGUGGAAACCCCCGCCGCCGCCGCCGCCGCCAUCUUCGUCGUCUCUACUGUUAUUACUACUAAUACUACGACUACUACUAUUACCGCCUCCUCCUGUUCCACCGCCGUUACAACCAACAGCAGCCCCGCCGCCGCCGUCAUUACUUCCUCUUUUGACAACAACCACUGCCAACAGAUACAAGACUUUUACUCGAACCCGCACCAACACUAUCAUUACAACAACACUAACAAACAUAACAACGGUAUCAUUAAUAAGAAUAACAUCAACAGUAGCUGCUGUUGUUGCUGUUGUUAUCUCUCUGCUAGCAGUAGUAGUGACUGUAGUGCUGGUAUUAGUGGGGGUGAUAAUAAUAAUACUAAUAAUAAUAGCAACAACAGUACAACUAAUGCUAGUAACAUCCAUCACUCUGCCAUGGUAACUACCAACACCAGUAACAAUAACAACAGUGUCUGCGCUUUCACAGCUACUACAAAUAAUAGUAAAAAUUGUCUAACAAACAACAACAGUAAUUAUAUAGCAGCAUUGAAUAAUGUCACCACCACCAGUGGCUUACACGCACCUUUACUAACACCUAUAACAGACUUCGACACUAACGCCACAAACAGCUACUAUUACGACAACAAGACUACUACUACUACUACCGUUACUAACCACAGCAACACUACUACUACUACCACCUCGCCAUCGGUAUUGGCCGGGUCGACGACAACGACCACGACGAUUACCACUUCUACUACCUGCAGCAGUGGCAGUGGCGGCACACUGCCCUUGUCGGCGGCACUCGUGCCUCUGUCGUCGUCGUCUGACAUCAACUCACAACCGCAACAACAACACAACUCGCAACUUCAUCCGCACCAUCGUCAUCACCACCCGCAUCACCACCACCACCAUCACAAUCACCAUCAUCACAACAACAACCACUACCAUCAUCACCACUCUCAACAACAACAACACAACAUCAGGCCAUCAACAUGCCAGUUUGCCGAAGUAACGGCAACCGAGGACAAAAAUCUCAAAGAACUCCUGCUUCUCCAUAUAGACUUCAUUCACCACCAGCAGGACUUGCUUGCACAGAAGGACAGACAUAUAAGUGAUCUCAAGUCGGAAAACGAAACGUUAAAAUGCCGCAUAGAUCGCAUGGAGCGCCGUUUGUCUAUUCUGAAGCAGAAAGACGAGCCAAUGAACUCCUCCUAUCAUAUGUCAAAGACCCAGGCUAGCAAUGAAAGCACCGGUGACAGGGGCAGUAAGAAGAUUGCCUUUCUAAAACGUAGAGAAAGAAAAUUUGGAGUUGAUGCCCAGAACGUUCAAAAGAAAGUGAUAUCAGACUCCACAAGGUCCAAAUCACAUUCUGUAACGAAAAACAAGCUCUCUUGCCACAACAAUAACUCUGUGUCGAAAUGUACGGAGCUGUCGGAAAAUGGGGAGCUGAUUUUACGAACUGACAAUUUAUAUUAUGUCUCUUACUAUGAACCACCUCCUCCCACAGAACGAGUGUUAGUGAACUCACGACACACCAACGAUGAAAUAUGUCCUGAUGGUACAAAAGUAGAAAUUCCACAUUGGCGGUUACGGACAGUUGCCAAUUGUUAUACUUUAGAGGGUACAGAAAAUUUAGAAGAUGAAGUGUUUACUAAGCGCCAUCAAAAACCUGAACAUGAAGAGAAACGGAGAAAACGGUGGGACCUUCAACGGAUGCGAGAACAGAAAAUGUAUGAAAAAUUACGAGAGAAAGAGAAACCAGAUUCAAAAGACUCCAAAGAUGGCGAUAAUUUCUUAACGUCUUUUUAUCCUUCAUUAGAAGACAUCACACAUUUAGAGAUUGCAGACAAAGUACCAGUAACUGCCUUCGGUCAACCGAUUCCUUACAUAAAGCCUUCUGACUUUGAAUUACCAUGGGAACUGGGAGAGUGGCCCAGCUCGUCUAGUUCGAAUGCGGACGAUAACAACAGGCAGCUGAAACAUCGACGGAUGAAACGCAAGUGAUUCCUGUCUUGCAAGCGCACACACUCACUCACACUCACACACACACAGACAAAUACAAGUGUGUGUAUAUACACAUACAAGGGUGUGUGUAUAUCUAUAAAUACACACACACACAUAUCACAUACAAUUACUAACUGUGCAUAUGCACCCCAUACUGAUAAUAUACAAUAGAACUCCUUUUCUUCCCCUUCUUACAUCUACAUCUCUCCCUUCCCACCAUUUAAUCAUGUGUAUGUGACAUGCAUUCAUUAACCACAACUACAAGGCA